Molecule: long non-coding RNA, 501 nt
Filed under: Mustela putorius furo (domestic ferret)
Lineage: Eukaryota; Metazoa; Chordata; Mammalia; Carnivora; Mustelidae
Description: lncRNA (ENSMPUG00000030308.1)
Source: RNAcentral
UCAUUAUAUACCAUCGGUUCUUUUAUAGUGGGUUAUCUGCACUAGUGAAUUUUUUGUUUUGCAUCAUCUUUCAAUUAGCCCUAUUAAGAAUUCAUGUACUUUUUUUCAUUUUAUUUUCCUUUCUUUUCAGUGUUCCAGAAUUCAUUGUUUAUGCACCACACCAAGUGCUCCAUGCAAUACGUGCCUUCCAUAAAGAAUUCAUGUACAUUUUAUUUUGAAGAAGAGGUUAUGGUACAUUUAUUCCCAAGCACUAACAGAAUUGAAACGGAAGAAGUUGGAAUUAUUCGUCUUUGGUGGCCCUCUCAUGCUCCUCCUAACCACCCACCUCACCAUGCUUUGGGUCUCCAGAAUGUGUUCUUCGAGGACAGUGACUCCCACAAGCAAAGCAGCAUCUGGCCGUGUGGGUGAUCUAUUCUCCAGCCUCUCAAAGUUGUGUAGGUAAGUCAGGCUAAAGUUACUGCCUCUCUCUUCCGGGAGUUCUUGUUUAUUCCUCCAGGAGGU